This 102-nucleotide non-coding RNA is filed under the name Halalkalibacter wakoensis. Its description in RNAcentral is "Bacillus wakoensis Guanine sequence". It matches the Rfam family "Purine riboswitch aptamer". From Rfam's summary of the family: Riboswitches are metabolite binding domains within certain messenger RNAs that serve as precision sensors for their corresponding targets. Allosteric rearrangement of mRNA structure is mediated by ligand binding, and this results in modulation of gene expression. Lineage: Bacteria; Bacillati; Bacillota; Bacilli; Caryophanales; Bacillaceae. RNAcentral also lists the same sequence under 1 other name. The record is from RNAcentral.
AAGAGUUGUUCUAAUUCUUUUCGUAUAAUUGCAGGGAUAUGGCCUGCGAGUCUCUACCAAGCUCCCGUAAAUAGCUUGACUACGAAAAAUCACUUGCAGCCU